This 482-nucleotide ribosomal RNA is filed under the name uncultured bacterium. RNAcentral's name for it is "partial 16S ribosomal RNA". It matches the Rfam family "Bacterial small subunit ribosomal RNA", at positions 30 to 507 of the family's 1533-position model. The record is from RNAcentral.
AUUGAACGCUGGCGGCAUGCCUUACACAUGCAAGUCGAACGGUAACAGGUCUUCGGAUGCUGACGAGUGGCGAACGGGUGAGUAAUACAUCGGAACGUGCCCAGACGUGGGGGAUAACGAGGCGAAAGCUUUGCUAAUACCGCAUACGAUCUAAGGAUGAAAGCAGGGGACCGCAAGGCCUUGUGCGUUUGGAGCGGCCGAUGGCAGAUUAGGUAGUUGGUGGGAUAAAAGCUUACCAAGCCGACGAUCUGUAGCUGGUCUGAGAGGACGACCAGCCACACUGGGACUGAGACACGGCCCAGACUCCUACGGGAGGCAGCAGUGGGGAAUUUUGGACAAUGGGCGAAAGCCUGAUCCAGCAAUGCCGCGUGCAGGAUGAAGGCCUUCGGGUUGUAAACUGCUUUUGUACGGAACGAAAAGGCUCUGGCUAAUACCCGGGGCACAUGACGGUACCGUAAGAAUAAGCACCGGCUAACUACGUG